Cyprinus carpio (common carp) is the source of this 1328-nucleotide long non-coding RNA. RefSeq lists it as uncharacterized. The transcript is spliced from 4 exons. Lineage: Eukaryota; Metazoa; Chordata; Actinopteri; Cypriniformes; Cyprinidae. The record is from RefSeq and is a predicted model, not a curated record.
AAGACAGGCACUUCGGCUGCGUCCGAAAUGGCAUACUUCCCUACUAUAUAGUAUGGAAAAAGCAGUAGGCGAGCGAAUGAGUAUGUUUGAAUCCUUUGUGUUCAUAAAAGAGUAGGUGAGAAUUGCACUAAUUCUUGUGAGAUUUGGAGGUACGUAUACUAAAUUUGCGUUCUAAUAUGCCUACUUACCUACUAUAUAGUAGGGAAAAAGAGUAUGUGAAGAAAGAAGUACGUUCAAAAACCUCAGUAUUCAUGAAACAGUAGGCGAGAAAUCCCCGGAUGUCCUUCUGCUUCAGCCCAGAUUCUGGAGUGUUCAUCGAUCGAUACUUUUCAAUCCCAGGAUGCCACGCGAGGAUCAUCGAACGUGAAGGAGAGCAGCGACGAAGGUUUAUAAAUGGACAGAUGAGACACACGUGUGUUUAUCUGCUGCAGAGACACUGAUGAAGAAAUGCUGCAAUCAAUCUUUUGUGGUGGAGCAGGUGACAGCAGCAUUUGUGAAAAACCUGAAAUCAAAAUAUAAAAUAAGAUCAUUUUAUUAGUUUUAAUACAGAAAUGAAAGGACACUGUGCUGUUAAAAUUACUGCUUUUGUUUUGUAUUUGUGCAUCUUUGCAGGAUCUGAAAUGUCUGCAGACUGCUGUGUGCACUGAGGAUGGAGAAGACCACAGCAGCAUCCUGGAAAUGGUCCAGUGUCAUGAAUGAAACGCUCCAUCACUGCAUCUCCUCUUGUUUCUCAUCAGGACCAGAUGCUGCUGGGGUGUCUUCAUCCUCAGUGACCCCAGAGCCAGCGAGAGCAUCAAGAUAAAGACCAAAAGACACUGAGGAUGUGAUUUUGGUCAAGUUUGGUCUGCUGGUUUCUGUUCAUACAACAUCAGUCAAUGAAACCAGAGUUUCAGAAGCUUCAAAAGCAUCAUCAAAUAAUGUCAUGAAGAAUCUGAAAGUCAGGCUCCAUUGACUGAUACUGUAUGAACACAAACCAGCAAGAGAAACUUGACCAAAAUCACCUUUUGUGUUCAGGAAAAACACACAGACACACAAGGAUUGAACAGCAUGGAGGGACCCCGAUCCCUCUGGAGCCACCUGGAGUAAAGACACACCGGUGACGACUGCGGAGAUCGAUCCAGCAACCUUCUGCUGACCAGUCCAGUUCACUACACCACAGAAGUAAUGAAGCUUUAUCAAAAAAUAGCAUGCAAUUGUGAUAAUGUGAAAUUAAAUGUAGCAAUAAAUAGAAUGGUGACAACAUGAGAUAUAAAGCAUGAGAUAAAAAGGGUUCACCGCCUGUAAACUUUCAAAAACAGAACAAUGUCUGAAUAAAGCUUUGUUUCAUG